RNAcentral lists this ribosomal RNA (295 nucleotides) under uncultured bacterium. Its description in RNAcentral is "partial 16S ribosomal RNA". The record is from RNAcentral.
GGACUACUGGGGUAUCUAAUCCUUUUUGCUCCCCACGCUUUCGUGCCUCAAUGUCAGUAGCAGAAUAGUUAACUGCCUUCGCCGUUAUUGAUGUUCAUCCAUAUAUCUACGCAUUUUACCGCUCCACAUGGAGUUCCGUUAACCUCUCCUGCACUCAAGUAUGACAGUAUUACCAACUUCCACGAGGUUGAGCCCCGAUUUACCACCGAUAACUUAUCAUACCAUCUACGCACCCUUUACGCCCAAUAAUUCCGGAUAACGUUCGCCACCUAUGUCUUACCGCGGCUGCUGGCAC